GUGAGGAAUUUUCCGCAAUGGGCGAAAGCCUGACGGAGCAAUGCCGCGUGAAGGAUGAAGGCCUAUGGGUUGUAAACUUCUUUUCUCAGAGAAGAAAUUUUGACGGUAUCUGAGGAAUAAGCAUCGGCUAACUCUGUGCCAGCAGCCGCGGUAAGACAGAGGAUGCAAGCGUUAUCCGGAAUGAUUGGGCGUAAAGCGUCUGUAGGUGGCUUGAAAAGUCUCCUGUCAAAGAUCAGGGCUUAACCCUGGGCCGGCAGGAGAAACUCUUAGGCUAGAGUUUGGUAGGGGCAGAGGGAAUUCCCGGUGGAGCGGUGAAAUGCGUAGAGAUCGGGAGGAACACCAAAGGCGAAAGCACUCUGCUGGGCCAUUACUGACACUGAGAGACGAAAGCGAGGGGAGCAAAUGGGAUUAGAAACCCCUGUAGUCC
Molecule: ribosomal RNA, 427 nt
Filed under: uncultured bacterium
Lineage: Bacteria
Description: bacterial SSU rRNA
Rfam family: Bacterial small subunit ribosomal RNA
Source: RNAcentral